GCAGGAUUGGUCUAUCGGUAGGGCUCCAGCUUCCCAAGCUGGCUGGGCGGGUUCGACUCCCGUAUCCUGCU
Molecule: transfer RNA, 71 nt
Filed under: Lachnospira sp.
Lineage: Bacteria; Bacillati; Bacillota; Clostridia; Lachnospirales; Lachnospiraceae
Also listed under: 1 other name
Description: tRNA-Gly
Rfam family: tRNA
About the family: Transfer RNA (tRNA) molecules are approximately 80 nucleotides in length.
Source: RNAcentral